Molecule: ribosomal RNA, 252 nt
Filed under: uncultured bacterium
Lineage: Bacteria
Description: partial 16S ribosomal RNA
Rfam family: Bacterial small subunit ribosomal RNA
Source: RNAcentral
UACGUAGGUCCCGAGCGUUGUCCGGAUUUAUUGGGCGUAAAGCGAGCGCAGGUGGUUUAUUAAGUCUGGUGUAAAAGGCAGUGGCUCAACCAUUGUAUGCAUUGGAAACUGGUAGACUUGAGUGCAGGAGAGGAGAAUGGAAUUCCAUGUGUAGCGGUGAAAUGCGUAGAUAUAUGGAGGAACACCGGUGGCGAAAGCGGCUCUCCGGCCUGUAACUGACACUGAGGCUCGAAAGCGUGGGGAGCAAACAGG